CGCCUGGUUGCUGCCUAGCACGCCGUCAGAGACCGCUGUUCACUCACCACUGCUGCGUCGCCAUUGAUGAACCUGUUGCCGCCGCCGUGAGCCGCGAACAGAGGAGGGAGAAGGAGGCGAGUUCAUGAGGGAGAAGAAGCAGCGCUGCCACCUUGCUGCCAUACCUCCUUGCUGCCGUCGAGCUGUCUGCUGCCAUUGUUGCCAUUUUGCCGCAACUUUCCGCUGCCCGGUCCAAUUCCUCAUUUCAUUCUACAUCAGUCCUCCACACCCGUUAAUUUCGCACUUCAGGUUUGGUCUCUUCGGUCCCUUAGGACCACGUUGAAUAAAUGCUUGACUAUGUGAGACAUUCUAAUCAAGAGUCACGAUCUGCAAUGAGUAUCUAUUUUGUCGAAUUUCUAGAUGUAUAUGCUCCAUAUGUCACAGGCAGGAUCCAA
This is a non-coding RNA of Arachis ipaensis, 434 nucleotides long. NCBI's taxonomy places the organism in Eukaryota, Viridiplantae, Streptophyta, Magnoliopsida, Fabales, Fabaceae. The record is from RefSeq and is a predicted model, not a curated record.